This 93-nucleotide transfer RNA is filed under the name Caballeronia temeraria. RNAcentral's name for it is "tRNA-Asp". The record is from RNAcentral. Lineage: Bacteria; Pseudomonadati; Pseudomonadota; Betaproteobacteria; Burkholderiales; Burkholderiaceae.
AACAGCGUGUUGCAGCGCGACGAGCGAUACGGCGUGAUCGUCGCCGAUGCGAAUUCGGCGAGCGGCCUCGCGUUCGACACGCGGCGCCGCUAC